AGGACGAACGCUGGCGGCGUGCUUAACACAUGCAAGUCGAGCGGAAAGGCCCUUCGGGGUACUCGAGCGGCGAACGGGUGAGUAACACGUGAGUAAUCUGCCCCUAGCUCUGGGAUAGCUCCGGGAAACCGGGAUUAAAUACCGGAUAUGACCACUUUAGACAUCUGCUGUGGUGGAAAGAUUUCGGCUAGGGAUGAGCUCGCGGCCUAUCAGCUUGUUGGUGGGUAACGCCUACCAAGGCGACGACGGGUA
RNAcentral lists this ribosomal RNA (252 nucleotides) under uncultured bacterium. RNAcentral's name for it is "partial small subunit ribosomal RNA". It matches the Rfam family "Bacterial small subunit ribosomal RNA", at positions 26 to 285 of the family's 1533-position model. The record is from RNAcentral.